CCCGUGUCUCUGGGACCUCAGUUUCCUCAUCCAAUUACAAACAAAAGGGAAGUGAGGAGUCUAUUAAUAGAGUUUGCGUAUUAUGUGUCAGACGCUCUGCCAAGCCCUUUGCAAACAGCAUGACCUCUAACUCCUCACACCAAUUCUCCCAGGGAGGUGUUAUUAUCAUCCUCUGGUAUCUGCAGAUGAGGAAAACAGGCUUUGCAGGAUUUGAACCCAGCUGUCUGGCACCCACUCCAAUGCUUUUAGCCACCGUGGUUCAUGGCCCCGCCCCGGAGCAGGAUCUCUGGUACACGGCCUGGAAGAGAGCCCUGAGGCCCACCAAUAGUGACUUCUCACGAGCUGCUCACCAGCGCUCCUUGGGGGCCCUCGAGCACCCCCAAGUCCCACUCGUGGAUCGGAAGCAGCGGAGAGCUGGAGGGUUAAGAGGACAUGAGAAUGGCAUGACAGAUCCUCAGCCACGAGGAUCAGCACAUGUGAGAAGGAUGAUCCCAGAAAAACGGGCCCUCCCCUCAGCCCACGCCUUGAUUCUGCUCCAGAACGCGGAGGAUGCAGAACUUCAAGAGGGCUGUGGCGAAGGUGUUGGCCAGCUCAGUGGACCCGGCACUUUGGCGUCAGAACUUCAGAUUCGACCUGAGCUAACAUCUGUGCCAGUCUUCCUUUAUUUUGUAUGUGGGUUGCUGCCACAGCAUGACUGCUGACGAGUGGCGUAAGUCCAUGCCUGGAAACUGGACCUGGGCUGCCAAAUUGGAGCAUGCCAAACUUAACCACUAGGCCACAGGGCCAGCCCCUACUGUCUUUUUAUCCCUUGGCUGAACACUGCCAGCCCCUGGCUUAGCUGUGCUAUGAAACAGUUUUAAAUUAUUUUUUAUUAGAAUAACAAAUUUAGAGUCUAUACCUAUAAUGGAUCACUGUUUAAAAACAAAAAUUCUAAAAAAAAAAAAUUAAUGCUGAAAUACAAAUUAAUAG
This 969-nucleotide long non-coding RNA is filed under the name Equus caballus (horse). Its description in RNAcentral is "lncRNA (ENSECAG00000045542.1)". The record is from RNAcentral. Lineage: Eukaryota; Metazoa; Chordata; Mammalia; Perissodactyla; Equidae.